UACCCACACAGUAAAACCAUUUAUUUUCUUGAGCGUAAUGAAGAUUCAUAUCUAUCCCAAACGAUGAAAAGUGCUCAUAAACAACCACUCACGGUCAUACCCACACACCGUAGACUACGAUCUCUACCCUCCCUCUGUCAAACUCUCUCAGCUUCUAUGUGGUGAUUGAGGUGUUUUACUAGUGGUUCGGAAGUGACAACUCUCAGUUUUGAGGUUUUCUUUUCUGAUAUUAUGGUUUUAUUGUCUAGCUCUCCUAGGGUAUCUCUGCAUGCUCUUAGGAUAGACAAUAAACUAUUAUAGAUGGAAGAAAAUUCUCCUCUGGUUGUGUAACUUUGUUACCUUUGUUAUUUUAACCUGUAUCGGUUACCCUACAAAAAAAAAAAAAAAAAAAAAGAA
Long non-coding RNA from Cannabis sativa, 396 nucleotides. RefSeq lists it as uncharacterized. The record is from RefSeq and is a predicted model, not a curated record. The transcript is spliced from 2 exons. Lineage: Eukaryota; Viridiplantae; Streptophyta; Magnoliopsida; Rosales; Cannabaceae.